AAACUGGGAUUAGAUACCCCACUAUGCCCAGCCGUAAACUUUUAUUUACAUCCAAAUCGCCCGGGAACUACGAGCUAAGCUUAAAACCCAAAGGACUUGACGGUACCCCAUAUCCCCCUAGAGGAGCCUGUCCUAUAAUCGAUAAUCCACGUUUAACCUCACCGCUUCUAGUUAAUCAGCCUGUAUACCUCCGUCGUCAGCUUACCACGUGAGCGUAAAUUAGUGAGCCCAAUGUUAUUUCACCAACACGUCAGGUCAAGGUGCAGCAAAUGAAGUGGGAAGAGAUGGGCUACACUUUCUAUUUUAGAAGAAACGAAAAACUACUUAUGAAACCUAGUUAGAAGGCGGAUUUAGCAGUAAAAAGAAAUCAGCAUGUUCAUUUUAACCCGGCACUGGGGUGUGUACACACCGCCCGUCACCCCCUGCAGUCAA
Molecule: ribosomal RNA, 432 nt
Filed under: Bufotes viridis (European green toad)
Lineage: Eukaryota; Metazoa; Chordata; Amphibia; Anura; Bufonidae
Description: partial 12S ribosomal RNA
Rfam family: Bacterial small subunit ribosomal RNA
Source: RNAcentral